Molecule: transfer-messenger RNA, 392 nt
Filed under: bacterium
Lineage: Bacteria
Rfam family: transfer-messenger RNA
About the family: Bacterial tmRNA, also known as 10Sa RNA or SsrA, is named for its dual tRNA and mRNA-like properties. Its role is to liberate the mRNA from a stalled ribosome. To accomplish this part of the tmRNA is used as a reading frame that ends in a translation stop signal.
Source: RNAcentral
GGGGGUGAUGGGCUUCGAUAGUAUUUUGAAAUUAAAUAUGCAAGCCGAGGAUUUCUCGUAACCUCGCAAAUUUUCCCCGCCAAAGGCGGUGAUAAAAAUCCACGAGAUAAGGCAAAUAACUGCCAAAACAAAUUUAAAUCCUGCUUUCUCCGUCAGUUGACGGAUUAAGCAGCAUCGGCUGUCUGAUGUCUAAUAUGACAAUACCGGUGUCAACCCAUUAGGCUUUAAUCCGUAGAAUUCUUCGCUCCGGGUGGAAACUAAAGAAGAGACAGAGAGUUUCUUAUUUUGAUUGCUUUAAGAGAGCUUUCUGAAAAAACAAAACAAUCUAAGCUUGUAGCAAUAUUUAAUUUUUUGAAUUCUAGAUGCGAGUUCAACUCUCGCCAUCUCCACUC